UAUAUUCUGGCCCGCCCAUUCCA
This 23-nucleotide non-coding RNA is filed under the name Arabidopsis thaliana (thale cress). Lineage: Eukaryota; Viridiplantae; Streptophyta; Magnoliopsida; Brassicales; Brassicaceae. The record is from RNAcentral.